AUACGGAGGAUCCGAGCGUUAUCCGGAUUUAUUGGGUUUAAAGGGAGCGUAGGUGGAUUGUUAAGUCAGUUGUGAAAGUUUGCGGCUCAACCGUAAAAUUGCAGUUGAAACUGGCAGUCUUGAGUACAGUAGAGGUGGGCGGAAUUCGUGGUGUAGCGGUGAAAUGCUUAGAUAUCACGAAGAACUCCGAUUGCGAAGGCAGCUCACUAGACUGUUACUGACACUGAUGCUCGAAAGUGUGGGUAUCAAACAGGAUUAGAUACCCUGGUAGUACACACAGUAAACGAUGAAUACUCGCUGUUUGCGAUAUACAGUAAGCGGCCAAGCGAAAGCAUUAAGUAUUCCACCUGGGGAGUACGCCGGCAACGGUGAAACUCAAAGGAAUUGACGGGG
RNAcentral lists this ribosomal RNA (393 nucleotides) under uncultured bacterium. Its description in RNAcentral is "partial 16S ribosomal RNA". It matches the Rfam family "Bacterial small subunit ribosomal RNA", at positions 523 to 918 of the family's 1533-position model. The record is from RNAcentral.